Molecule: transfer RNA, 83 nt
Filed under: Schistosoma mattheei
Lineage: Eukaryota; Metazoa; Platyhelminthes; Trematoda; Strigeidida; Schistosomatidae
Rfam family: tRNA
About the family: Transfer RNA (tRNA) molecules are approximately 80 nucleotides in length. Their secondary structure includes four short double-helical elements and three loops (D, anti-codon, and T loops). Further hydrogen bonds mediate the characteristic L-shaped molecular structure. tRNAs have two regions of fundamental functional importance: the anti-codon, which is responsible for specific mRNA codon recognition, and the 3' end, to which the tRNAs corresponding amino acid is attached (by aminoacyl-tRNA synthetases). tRNAs cope with the degeneracy of the genetic code in two manners: having more than one tRNA (with a specific anti-codon) for a particular amino acid; and 'wobble' base-pairing, i.e. permitting non-standard base-pairing at the 3rd anti-codon position.
Source: Rfam by way of RNAcentral
UUCAGGAUGACCGAGCGGUCCAAGGCGCUGCGUUCAGGACGCAGUCCGCUCUGUGGGUGUGGGUUUGAAUCCCACUCCUGACA